This is a long non-coding RNA of Chelonia mydas (Green sea turtle), 642 nucleotides long. RefSeq lists it as uncharacterized. The transcript is spliced from 3 exons. The record is from RefSeq and is a predicted model, not a curated record. NCBI's taxonomy places the organism in Eukaryota, Metazoa, Chordata, Testudines, Cheloniidae.
GGUUUUCAUUUAAAAAAAAACAAAAUUUCUAGUAGAGCUGGCCAGGAAAUGGGUAUUUUUUUCCCAAGUGGGAAACCUCCACUUUUCACAGAAAUGUCAAAACCCGAAAUAUUUCAAUUGAAAAUGGCCUGAUGGGAGUUAUAGUUUGAGUGCCUUGUGCUUCCAUUCUCUUCUGUGGGCCAGGAUCUGUAGCCGGACUAUAUCUCCCAUGAUGCACCUUAGCGUAGGAUUCCUAUGAUGCACGUCCUUCCCUCACCGAAAGAGGAGCUGGUGGUGCAUCAUGAGAGAUGUAGUCCAGACAAACACCUUGACCUAUAGUGGAGAAUGAGGAUACAAGGCUCUGAAACUACAUCUCCCAGGAUGCACCGUGGCUAUGGAUUCCUAUGAGGCUCCCUCCCAUCACCAAGAGGGAGAUAGUGGAGCAUCAUGGGAAAUGUCAUCCAGCUGGGCAGCACAGCCUAUAGAGGAGGCUGGGGGUGCUGGGACGGGAGGGCUCCGCGUCUGAGCAUCAGCCACCCCCCGUGUUUGGGCUCCCGCGUUCAUCCUGGGACCUGCAGUUGCGCUCGUCCUGCUGCUGCUGGUGGGGCUGGUCGGCGUCACAGCUUGGAGGAAGAGGCGGAGCAAACGCCAGGGACUGAGCAG